Non-coding RNA from Rattus norvegicus (Norway rat), 47 nucleotides. Lineage: Eukaryota; Metazoa; Chordata; Mammalia; Rodentia; Muridae. The record is from Rfam.
CAUGUGGCUUUUUUUAAAGCCAUAUAUUCUAUUAAAACUAUUUACCU